GCGGGAGUUGCCCAGACUGGCCAAUUGGAUGGUCGAAUCCACCCGUCCAUCCAAGGCUCGAGGCGCGGGGCUUAGAUCCCCGUCUCGCAGGAGUCCGAGGGUUCAAAUCCCUCCUCCCGCA
This 121-nucleotide transfer RNA is filed under the name Promethearchaeota archaeon. Its description in RNAcentral is "Candidatus Lokiarchaeota archaeon (anaerobic digester metagenome) tRNA-Leu". Lineage: Archaea; Promethearchaeati; Promethearchaeota. The record is from RNAcentral.